Molecule: long non-coding RNA, 136 nt
Organism: Cucurbita moschata (crookneck pumpkin)
Lineage: Eukaryota; Viridiplantae; Streptophyta; Magnoliopsida; Cucurbitales; Cucurbitaceae
Exons: 3
Source: RefSeq, a predicted model, not a curated record
GUCAACAAGGAUGCUUGGCCCCCAAGGGGGUGGAUUUGGGGAUCCAUAUAGAUUGGAGAAGGAAACGAGUGCCAGAGAGGACGCUGGGCCAUGAAGGAGGUGAAUUGUGCAAUCCCGCAUCGAUGGAAGAAGAUAA